UGGUUAGAACAUUUUGCUUCUGUAACUUGCAACAAUGACUCAUGUAAUUGUGAGAUCAGGAUAAAUUGUACAGACGCCCGAGUGGUUUAGUUUGGCAGUUUACGCAGAAAUAAGUCGUUUGACCUAAUUUAGCAUAGCUCAAUAGACAAAUUACAUUUUAACUUUUUAUCUCAGGUAGUUCCUGCUCGAAUAGCUAGCGGACAAUAACAUUGCUUAGAUUUUCUGAGUUUUCAUGCAUUACUAUGGUGAGUACUCACAUGGAAAAAGAAAAAGAUUUGCCCCAGAGUAAAUCAGCAUAACAUCAUCUCUAGUAAGACUGAAUCUUUAUUAACCCUUUAAGGACGGAGGCAAUUGUCCAAGUUCUGAACCAAAAC
This is a non-coding RNA of Pelobates cultripes (western spadefoot toad), 374 nucleotides long. The record is from the annotation of a GenBank genome assembly. NCBI's taxonomy places the organism in Eukaryota, Metazoa, Chordata, Amphibia, Anura, Pelobatidae.